RNAcentral lists this ribosomal RNA (258 nucleotides) under uncultured prokaryote. RNAcentral's name for it is "partial 16S ribosomal RNA". It matches the Rfam family "Bacterial small subunit ribosomal RNA", at positions 524 to 780 of the family's 1533-position model. The record is from RNAcentral.
UACGUAGGGAGCGAGCGUUGUCCGGAAUUACUGGGCGUAAAGAGCUCGUAGGUGGUUUGUCACGUCGUCUGUGAAAUUCCGGGGCUUAACCUCGGGCGUGCAGGCGAUACGGGCAAUACUUGAGUGCUGCAGGGGAGACUGGAAUUCCUGGUGUAGCGGUGAAAUGCGCAGAUAUCAGGAGGAACACCAAUGGCGAAGGCAGGUCUCUGGGCAGUUACUGACGCUGAGGAGCGAAAGCAUGGGUAGCGAACAGGAUUA